AUGUUGCUGCGGUUAAAGGCUCGCAGUUGAAUGUCAGUUAUAAUACGUGAUGAGAUGCCGGGACGUUGUUCGUGCGGUGACCUCGUGUCUCGUUCGUUCCGUCCCCUGAGCGCAUUUCUCGCAAUCUAACAAUAAUUAUCGUGAACACUACGAUUGUGCGUUUCUUAUGCUUGCAUUUGAUCUCGUACGGUCUUGGUAUCUCGAUAGUUGACACCUUGAGUAAAUCAGAGUGCUUAACGCAGUCGUUUAAAUACCGGUGGUUUUACGUAACUUGUUGCGUGUAAACUACCAGUGGCGGUGUUUUAUCCGUUUAGACAUUGUCUUUGCUUUGCAUGGUACGUCGAAAGACGCCGUGUAAGUUGGUUGCGCUUACGGUUUGACACAUGCUUAUGUGUGCGCGUGCACCAACGAGCACGGAAUGAUAUGAAAGGGAUGGAUCGAAGGCAUUGGUAUUGCGAGGCGAGAGGUGAAAUUCUAUGACCCUCGCAAGACUCCCCGAAGCGAAAGCGUCUGCCUAGGACGUCUUCAUUAAUCAUGAACGAAAGUUGAAGGAUCGAAGGCGAUCAGAUACCGCCCUAGUUUUAACCGUAAACUAUACCAACCAUCAAUCCGUCGGAGCGUUCCCUUACUCCCGUUGAUCGGCUUAUGCUGUGAUGCGUGGACAAGUGUAAGCUCGAUGGGCAGCUCCUCCACUACGGAAAACCAGAGUGUUUCGGUUCCGGGGGGAGUCUGGUUGCAAAGCUGAAACUUAAAGGAAUUGACGGAAAGGCACCACCAGGCGUGGAGCUUGCGGCUCAAUUUGACUCAACACGGGAAAUCUCACCAGACCCAAACAUCUUUAAUGACUGACAGACUGAAAGCUCUUUCUCGAUAAAGUGGAUGGUGGUGCAUGGCCGUUCUUAGUUGGUGGAGUGAUCUGUCUGGUUAAUUCCGAUAACGAACGAGACUCUCCCCUGCUAACGAACCUUGUGUUCUUGUAGACAGUGUGAUUCGAAUCAAGGAUUAAUACUCGCGAGAGUUUAUCCUGACGAUGUCCACUGAUCCUUGUUGCGUCAGAAGUGGUGCUCGAUGACGUUCGUGCGCGGGAUUUCGAGGUGAUUAAUUUCUCCAAGUUUCUCGAUGCUCGAAACUGUUUUACGGGUCCCUUUCGACUGCGGCUUGGAGUACGUUUCUUCUUAGAGGGAUUGUUGACUAAUAAGUCGAAAGAAACAGAGAGCAAUAACAGGUCUGUGAUGCCCUUAGAUGUUCUGGGCUGCACGCGUGUUACAAUGCCGGGAUCAACGGGUUAUUACACAUCUCGUGUCCUACUCCGAGAGGAGCGGGUAAACCUUUGAAAUCCCUGACGCGUGAGAGGCAUGUUCUAUCCGCAAUAUGGCUUGCUUGGGACUGGGGAUUGCAACUAUUCCCCACGAACGAGGAAUGCCUUGUAGUGGCGAGUCACAGAGCUCGCUGCGACUCUGUCCCUGCCCUUUGUACACACCGCCCGUCGCUACUACCGAUUGAGUGUACCAGUGAGAUGCUUGGACUGGCGAACCGAUGUCGCAAGACUCGGCGUACGACACAAAGAGACUCGAACUGGUGCACUAGAGAA
This 1591-nucleotide ribosomal RNA is filed under the name Thyropus sphaeroma. RNAcentral describes it as "bacterial SSU rRNA". It matches the Rfam family "Eukaryotic small subunit ribosomal RNA", at positions 607 to 1780 of the family's 1831-position model. The record is from RNAcentral. Lineage: Eukaryota; Metazoa; Arthropoda; Malacostraca; Amphipoda; Parascelidae.